This 909-nucleotide long non-coding RNA is filed under the name Brassica rapa (field mustard). RNAcentral describes it as "long non-coding RNA (BRAP_LNC006016)". Lineage: Eukaryota; Viridiplantae; Streptophyta; Magnoliopsida; Brassicales; Brassicaceae. The record is from RNAcentral.
UGUGCUUAUGUUUUCAUCGAUGAGCAACAUAUCAACGCUCAUAAGCUCCCCGCCUUUGUUGAUGUUUCUCGCAAACCGCAACAGACGGACCUCCGCCGUGUUAGAGCAUCGCCCGGCUCUCAGGUCGACAAGUAACGUGUACGUAGACGCCAUCGGAAUUGAAUUGCGUGUAUGGAUCGGGCGUUACAGAACUCAGAUCGACGGUUUGGUUUUCUCAGUAACAUCGGCGAGGUCGCUUCUGGAAGAAGAAGUCGACGACCACCAAACCUAAGCACGAGUUUCUAACGGGCCAAAUGCUGGGUUAGACCAAUUUAAUUAACUAAAAGCCCAGCUACCUAUAAAACCUAAAACUCAGACGGAACAGAAGAAAAAAAAAACGCGGGGCAUUGGUUGAGCGACACGUGGCGACAAAUGCCCACCUCUAAAGAAGGACGUGGCUGCAGGAGGUGAGAGAAAACUCCCCUUUAUUAUUAAUAUUGUUAGAGGCUUAGUAUAAGACAAUUGUGCUUACGUUUUCAUCGAUGAGCAACAUAUCAACGCUCAUAAGCUCCCCGCCUUUGUUGAUGUUUCUCGCAAACCGCAACAGACGGACCUCCGCCGUGUUAGAGCAUCGCCCGGCUCUCAGGUCGACAAGUAACGUGUACGUAGACGCCAUCGGAAUUGAAUUGCGUGUAUGGAUCGGGCGUUACAGAACUCAGAUCGACGGUUUGGUUUUCUCAGUAACAUCGGCGAGGUCGCUUCUGGAAGAAGAAGUCGACGACCACCAAACCUAAGCACGAGUUUCUAACGGGCCAAAUGCUGGGUUAGACCAAUUUAAUUAACUAAAAGCCCAGCUACCUAUAAAACCUAAAACUCAGACGGAACAGAAGAAAAAAAAAACGCGGGGCAUUGGUUGAGCGACACGUGGCG